Molecule: non-coding RNA, 673 nt
Organism: Plectropomus leopardus (leopard coralgrouper)
Lineage: Eukaryota; Metazoa; Chordata; Actinopteri; Perciformes; Serranidae
Source: RefSeq, a predicted model, not a curated record
CAAAAAAAUCUAUAAAUUAAGCUAAUGUUUUAGUUGACCAUAAAAAUAAUCAAAUGCAAAUUUCUACUUAUUGUGAUAAGAAAUAUUUCAAUACUUCCUGAAAUUACUGAAUGAAUGUCAAAAGGGAAUUUAAAUCAUUGCAUUAUACUUAAAUCUCUCACAAGUAAUUUUUUACUCCAUCCAUUGCCCCUUUUCAGUCUUCACCAUACUAUGCAGGGUGCUCACACUCUCAAACGUUGUAAUGUAUGAAAAACUGUAUUAUUCCUCAUUUUGCAAAGUCUUUUAGUCACUAAGCCAUUACUUGCUGUAGUUUUCAUUAGUUUAUGCCAACAUUUCUUUUUGCCAAGACAAACAAAUCCUGGAGGUUAAAUUCCACUGCAAAACACAACAAACCACAGCCUGUAUCACAUUAAUGAUCCAUUUCAGCACCACACAGUAAUGAGAGCCUAAAACUGCUGUCAAAAGAGCUAAACUUACUGCAGACAUGGGAUGGACUUACUGUGUUAUAUGGUUCCUGUGUUUUGCAGUGACUGAGUGCCAGCAGCCUCCGGACUCCAAAUCUAUAAUACAUGCUUAAUUGAAAAAAAAAAAAUCUCCUGGUCUGCAGUUACUUUCACCUGUGAAGCAGAUGGAAAGUGGAGGUCCAACCACAGUGAUGUCACUCCAGCAUGUA